This 323-nucleotide unclassified non-coding RNA is filed under the name Hevea brasiliensis (rubber tree). The record is from RNAcentral. Lineage: Eukaryota; Viridiplantae; Streptophyta; Magnoliopsida; Malpighiales; Euphorbiaceae.
CCCUGAGUCAUGUUAUUAGCCACAUCCAGUAUCCAGAAUCCGAACACGAAAACUCCGAUAGCUCUUGGCCUGGUGUUUCCCCUGUCACCCAACAACCAUCCGAUAUCGGCGGAGUGGCCGAUGAUUAAAACGGCAAAACAAAUUAAACCUGCCCCAGCAAAAAUAAACGGCCUGCGGCGGCCAAACCGGCUGUUGCAGCGAUCACUCAUGUGGCCAACGAGUGGCUGCACCACCAGGCCCGAUAAUGGCCCGCAAAGCCAUAUAAUGCUGGCCCACUUGUGCGGAAUUCCUAGUUCCUGAACGUAAGGUGUCAAGAGAGAGAG